Molecule: long non-coding RNA, 2641 nt
Filed under: Paramuricea clavata
Lineage: Eukaryota; Metazoa; Cnidaria; Anthozoa; Malacalcyonacea; Plexauridae
Source: RNAcentral
UGGUGGUGUUCGACGACUCUCUCUCUCCUCUCUCUCUCUCUCUCUCUGAUGCUGAACUUCAGAAAAUUUACUACGUUUAUUAUAUACAUUGAUUUGUAUUUUACAUUGUUUCAGGCUUUAUAGUAUUUCAAUAAGUUGCACGCAUGCCCAAUGAUUAGCAAAUAAGUACAGUUUGUUAAUAUACCGCUAGCCUUAUAGAAUAAACCUUUUCUUGAGCGAAAGUGAAUUAUAAAGAUCUUUAAAUAUAUCUAGCAGCUAAAUUUUCUAGGAUAUAUAUACAUGAUUACCUUUUAAGCACGGCGCGGCUUACCACGGGCAAAUUACCAGUUGCCUAAUAACUGAGACUAUGCAUACAGCUUGUGUUGACUAAAUUACACUAUUGACACUUCAUAAGAAUUACAAGAAGAUACUGAUAAAGUAUCUUAAUAUAAUAUGCUUAUGGCUGUAUGCACCUCAGGGGUAAUCAAUCUACAUACAUGUAACACAUAUGUAAUAUAAAAGGACUAGACAGACUAUAGACACGCAAGACUAGAAGUCCGUAGCACGGACAUGUUUCCAUAGCUACAGUAUUUCAAAACAAGUCCUUAGAAAUUUAGGUUAAUCUCGCAUGCAUUGCUACUAUUCUCACGUGUCGAUCUAUAUCCAUGCGUUAUUAAUGAAUUUGAUACACAAAUCAACAAUGGACUUUUCUCACGUGUCAGCCAUGUUGGAAUGAAAAUCUAGGCAUAUUUGAUUGCCCCCGCUCUUUUGCUGUUCGUGCGUUAUUAGUCUUGUUUUAAUUCCAACAUGACUGACACACGAGGAAGGCCUAUAUGUCAUGUUUAAGAUCACACCAUAGUUUGUUUGGAGUAUUUCAUCGGUCCGUGCCCUCUUUCUGAUCUUCAUUCGUGAAAAACUUUGCAUUUCAUAGCUUAUGAACUGUUAAAGUGUUAAAAAUGUUAACUUUCAACCCCGGGGUUGAACUCUGCGUUAGCCCUGCCAACCGGGUUGAAAUGUUUUGCGAUUACAUGGACGAUUUCAAUCCCGGGGUUGAAAUCUAUACGUUCCCGACAUUGAUCCCCGGAAGUAAAGAAAAGCGGCUCCAUAGCCUCCAUUCUGUUUUCUUGUAACAAAUAUGGUCACUACUGCGCAUGCUUGAAUAAUUUCAGCCCUGGGUUCAGUGAAACGAUUACAUACAACAUUUUGAACCCAGGACUGAGUUCAACCCCAGGGUUGAAAUUCCAACCCUGCUAGCUGAAGCAGGGUUGAAAUUUCAACCCCAGGGUUGAACUCAGCCCGGGGUUGAAAAUUUUAUCAUGUAAUAGCGCGUUUGAGCUUCACAAAGUUUUGUAUUACAGACACGGCUGAAAUUUCAACCCGGUCUGCAGGGCUUAGUUCAACCCCGGGGUUGAAAAUGCUCCGUGUAAUCGGUCCUAAGUAUCUUAAUAUAAUAUGCACUUAUAUGCUUAUGGCUGUAUGCACCUCAGGGGUAAUCAAUCUACAUUUAUUUAACACGUAUAUUAUAUACAAGACUAGACGGACUAUACAGAAGACAAGCAAGACUAGAAGUCCCUAACACGGACAUGUUUCCCGCAUAGCUCUUUCAAAACAAGUCCUAAGAAAUUUAGGUUAAUCACGCAUGCAUGACUAUUGUUUUUACGUGUCCAUCUAUGUGCAUGCGUUAAUAAUUAAUUUUAUAUACAAAUCAACAAUAUGCUUUUCUCACGUGUCAGCCAUGUUGAAACGAAAAACAAGGCAAAUUACGCAACGAAGAUGCAACUUGAUUGCCUCCGCUUUUUCUGCUGUUCGUGCGUUAUUAGCCUCGUUUUAAUUCCAACAUGACUGACACGCGAGGAAGGCCCAUAUGUCAUCUUUAAGAUUCUACCAUAGUUUUUUAUAGCAUUUCACUGGUCCGUUAUUUUCAGUGCCACGAUAGCCGCCUCUUUCCGUUCGUGAAAACUGAUUGCGUUCUAUGUGAGUGAAAGCCCUUUUAUAAUGCUCGUCAGCCGUUUAGCGUGCUGAUAGACGAAUAGGAUUACCACUAAUUGGCAAAGAGUUGUGAUUUAACUAUAACUCAAGUUAACACGGAAUUUAUGAACCUUUGAGAUUAAUAAGCCGUAAUAUUAAAACAUGUUUAUCGAAAGUCAACAUGGUCUCUUAUUCCCUGUCAUGUACAUCAUCAUACAGCUGUUCAUAUUAAGAUUGCAUCUAAUUAAUUGUUGCACCACAAGACUUUGCCCCAUAGGGGUGACGGCCUUUAGGGGGAGAUAAGUCUCACCAGCAGGCCUAGAAAAUAUAUUUCUCUUGGCUGGCAGCAAAAUCCAAAAAUAAAAAUUUCCUUUUUAAGUCAAUUAUAAGACUUCCUGCAUAUGUAGAUUUCAGAGAACGGAUGGCGAUAAACUACAAUCUCAGCACAAGACAAUCUCGACUGGCAAAAUGCUUUUGGACUUUUUAAACAAUAAGUAAAUUAUAUGGCAUUUAAAUACAGACACACAGGCACUAUAAUAAUAUUAGCCUGCGAACAGGCUCUCAAGCUGAAUUGAGAGCCUGCAUCGAUGACUUAUGAAUUUGAAUAUCUGCCCCGUAACGUUCGUUUUUCCAAAUAUGGAAUGUCUAUCCUUAUAUGGUGUUGUUUACAACUUUCGUGCAAACUAAAUUUAGA